UCAUUUGGAGCGAAAGGAUUCCUGGCGAAGCAGAGCUCUGCGCACUUGAGUUCCGGUCCGAUUUCCCGCGGAGUUCCCCGCUUGGCGCUUGCUUGCGUGUCUUGGAGUACUGGUCGGGUUUCACCCCCAUCAGUAGGCUUCAGGGAACUGGAGACGAUUGGAGGCACCUUCACUUGGUCCAACGGUGUAGGCCCCCACCCCAGCACACCAGAUCGAGAUUGGACAGGGCUAUGGGAAAUCAUCAAUGGAUCGCACGCUGGCCGCAAACGCGUCCGAGGUUGCUCCUGGGCACAUCGAGAGAUCAUGCAAGGUUACUCAUCAAAUUAACGCACCUUGAGAAGAGAUCGACGCCGUUUAAAUUCUUCGCCAGCUGGCUGCACGAGGAAGGUUUCAAUGAAAAAUUUAUCACGACCUGGAAAAUGCAAGCGACCGGAACACCACUAUUCAAACUACAAGAGAAAAUAAACAAGGUCAGAGUUGCUGGAAAGGAGUGGGCGAAAAGGAAGUACAUUAUGGCACGUACCUAUAGCAAGGUAGCAGCGAAGCUGCAGCAGAUUGCGUUGAAUCUUCAGCUUGACCCACUAAACGCUGGACUGCAAUCCGACUAUAAAAACAAAAAAGAUGAACUGAUUGAAACGCAACACAAGGAGAGAUUGGAUUUACAACAGCGUGUCCAUGUAAAUUGGUUGACAAAGAGGGACCAAGGAACAAAAUUCUUUGCCCAAGCAAUCAAAGCGAGACAAGUAAGGAACUCUAUCAUGGGCAUCUUGUACAGCAAUGGCACCAAAACUGACUCGCUAGCAAGCAUGAAGGAAAGGGUUGUCACUUACUUCACAUCACUCUAUUUGGCACAUAACAGAGCACCACCAAUCCCCAACCUUAACAUAUUUAUUGAGGAGAGUCCAACAACCAUUGAAAAUACGAUCCUCAGGGCUUACCCCACCAACGAAGAAGUACUGAAAAUGGUCAAAAGUCUGCCAAAAUCAAAAGCCCCCGGAAUUGAUGGCCUAACAACGGAAUUUAUAAUCCACCAUUGGGAAACGGUGAAGGAUGAUUACCUUGCAGCAAUACUUCACUUCUUCACCACAAAGAGAAUGUUGAGGUCACUUAACCUCGCCACACCGACUUUGAUUCCUAAAGUCCAGCAGCCAGAGCGCUUGGAAGACUAUAGGCUGAUAUCGUGCAUUGGCAUCUCGUACAAAUUUUUUUCCAAAUUACUAGCUACAAAACUGAUGGCAAUACUACCAAGGUUGAUUAGUCUGAACCAAUUAGCUUUCAUCAAAGGUCGCCGGAUUAGCGACGCCAUAGGUUUGGCACAGGAAUUCACGCAAGGAUUUAACUGGAAGGGCACCUCAAGG
RNAcentral lists this long non-coding RNA (1358 nucleotides) under Zostera marina. Its description in RNAcentral is "long non-coding RNA (ZMAR_LNC005040)". The record is from RNAcentral. Lineage: Eukaryota; Viridiplantae; Streptophyta; Magnoliopsida; Alismatales; Zosteraceae.